RNAcentral lists this ribosomal RNA (1430 nucleotides) under Klebsiella aerogenes. RNAcentral describes it as "bacterial SSU rRNA". It matches the Rfam family "Bacterial small subunit ribosomal RNA". The record is from RNAcentral. Lineage: Bacteria; Pseudomonadati; Pseudomonadota; Gammaproteobacteria; Enterobacterales; Enterobacteriaceae.
GCGCAGCUACACAUGCAGUCGAGCGGUAGCACAGAGAGCUUGCUCUCGGGUGACGAGCGGCGGACGGGUGAGUAAUGUCUGGGAAACUGCCUGAUGGAGGGGGAUAACUACUGGAAACGGUAGCUAAUACCGCAUAACGUCGCAAGACCAAAGUGGGGGACCUUCGGGCCUCAUGCCAUCAGAUGUGCCCAGAUGGGAUUAGCUAGUAGGUGGGGUAAUGGCUCACCUAGGCGACGAUCCCUAGCUGGUCUGAGAGGAUGACCAGCCACACUGGAACUGAGACACGGUCCAGACUCCUACGGGAGGCAGCAGUGGGGAAUAUUGCACAAUGGGCGCAAGCCUGAUGCAGCCAUGCCGCGUGUAUGAAGAAGGCCUUCGGGUUGUAAAGUACUUUCAGCGAGGAGGAAGGCGUUAAGGUUAAUAACCUUAGCGAUUGACGUUACUCGCAGAAGAAGCACCGGCUAACUCCGUGCCAGCAGCCGCGGUAAUACGGAGGGUGCAAGCGUUAAUCGGAAUUACUGGGCGUAAAGCGCACGCAGGCGGUCUGUCAAGUCGGAUGUGAAAUCCCCGGGCUCAACCUGGGAACUGCAUUCGAAACUGGCAGGCUAGAGUCUUGUAGAGGGGGGUAGAAUUCCAGGUGUAGCGGUGAAAUGCGUAGAGAUCUGGAGGAAUACCGGUGGCGAAGGCGGCCCCCUGGACAAAGACUGACGCUCAGGUGCGAAAGCGUGGGGAGCAAACAGGAUUAGAUACCCUGGUAGUCCACGCCGUAAACGAUGUCGACUUGGAGGUUGUGCCCUUGAGGCGUGGCUUCCGGAGCUAACGCGUUAAGUCGACCGCCUGGGGAGUACGGCCGCAAGGUUAAAACUCAAAUGAAUUGACGGGGGCCCGCACAAGCGGUGGAGCAUGUGGUUUAAUUCGAUGCAACGCGAAGAACCUUACCUACUCUUGACAUCCAGAGAACUUAGCAGAGAUGCUUUGGUGCCUUCGGGAACUCUGAGACAGGUGCUGCAUGGCUGUCGUCAGCUCGUGUUGUGAAAUGUUGGGUUAAGUCCCGCAACGAGCGCAACCCUUAUCCUUUGUUGCCAGCGGUCCGGCCGGGAACUCAAAGGAGACUGCCAGUGAUAAACUGGAGGAAGGUGGGGAUGACGUCAAGUCAUCAUGGCCCUUACGAGUAGGGCUACACACGUGCUACAAUGGCAUAUACAAAGAGAAGCGACCUCGCGAGAGCAAGCGGACCUCAUAAAGUAUGUCGUAGUCCGGAUUGGAGUCUGCAACUCGACUCCAUGAAGUCGGAAUCGCUAGUAAUCGUAGAUCAGAAUGCUACGGUGAAUACGUUCCCGGGCCUUGUACACACCGCCCGUCACACCAUGGGAGUGGGUUGCAAAAGAAGUAGGUAGCUUAACCUUCGGGAGGGCGCUACCACUUGAUCG